UUGUAACGUUGUACGUUAUAUUUUGAAUAUUUAAAAAUACUAGACUUGCUAUAUCUCGGCCGCGCGCCGCGAGCCGUGAGCCGUUGACGGGUGACGGAAACCGGUUCGGCGAACUAUCCCUCCUAUGAGGCGACGCGAGCAGAGCCGGCGGUCAAUCGCGAGACGGUCACUAGCACGACGCUGCGAGCCGAUACAGUCUACUACUACUACUGGUCUAUGUACAUUUUUAACUCGCGAUUUUAUUGCAAAUAAUUUAACCGUUAAUAAACUAUUGUGCUUUUAAAAUAACUUUUAAAGUCAGUGUAUACCCCAGAUCGGGGUUCAAGUACCUGACUACCUCCAGUGCACCUACCGUAGUGCACCUACCCUAAGUGCACCUACCUACGCGCUUGUCUACCUACGUGCCUGUGUCUACCUACGUGCCUGUGUCUACCUACGUGCCUGUGCCUAUCUACGUGCCGCGCCUAUCUACGUGUCCUGCAUCUACCUGCGCGUCCGGCAUCUACUAGCGCGCUGCACACGUACCCCGCCUGACCGCUGCCGAGCUGCCUGACUAUACAGGGUAGUAGUGUUCUAUAGCGGGCCAGAACUUAACGCGAGCUCGAUUAUUCUAAACCCACUCCCGGCUCUGCCGAUCUUUUGGUACAAUAUAGACUUAUACCAUUUAC
Long non-coding RNA from Helicoverpa armigera (cotton bollworm), 668 nucleotides. RefSeq lists it as uncharacterized. Lineage: Eukaryota; Metazoa; Arthropoda; Insecta; Lepidoptera; Noctuidae. The transcript has 2 exons. The record is from RefSeq and is a predicted model, not a curated record.